RNAcentral lists this transfer RNA (71 nucleotides) under Phylloscopus tenellipes (pale-legged leaf-warbler). RNAcentral describes it as "tRNA-Glu". It matches the Rfam family "tRNA". Rfam says of the family: Transfer RNA (tRNA) molecules are approximately 80 nucleotides in length. Their secondary structure includes four short double-helical elements and three loops (D, anti-codon, and T loops). The record is from RNAcentral. Lineage: Eukaryota; Metazoa; Chordata; Aves; Passeriformes; Phylloscopidae.
GUUUCUGUAGUUAAAUGCUGUAACGAUGGCUUUUCAGGCCGUAGAUCUCGGAGAGAGGCCGAGCAGGAAUU